GGUCUGCAUUUUGUUUCCGUUUUAUUUUGGGUUUUUUUUGGUUUGAGUUUUUUUUUUCCUGCCGUUGGGACUGGCAUUCCUCAUGACAUCCACCAGAGGUCGCCAACAGACAGAGCCCCUGGAAGGCUGCUGAGUUCAACCCGUUUACACACCUGCAGCUUGUUUUGGAGGGCGUGGAUUAUGGAUUUAAGCAGCAGCUCCUCUCCGUCUCAUCGCCUGAGUGUUUGCUUACUUCGAUAUCCUGCUGUUCUCUCGCGGUUCUGGCGAAGAGCAGUCCUCCCCGAGUUCAGUGUGCGCCUGUGCUCCCCUCGUUGUGGAUUCCCUACCUCCUGUGUCCUCCCUCGACGCUGUCGGUGCUACCGGUCAGAAGCCACCCCUCGUGUGUCCACCCUUUCCUCUCGUCGAUCCCUCUCUGGUGGAACCCCCCUCAUUCCAACAAGACGACCCGGUCAUCAGCACCAGGAGUCGCGUCCUGACCCCUCCCCUGACUUCAAUAAACUGAUUAUUGUGCACUU
Xiphophorus couchianus (Monterrey platyfish) is the source of this 515-nucleotide long non-coding RNA. RefSeq lists it as uncharacterized. The transcript has 2 exons. NCBI's taxonomy places the organism in Eukaryota, Metazoa, Chordata, Actinopteri, Cyprinodontiformes, Poeciliidae. The record is from RefSeq and is a predicted model, not a curated record.